RNAcentral lists this long non-coding RNA (702 nucleotides) under Mus spicilegus (steppe mouse). RNAcentral describes it as "lncRNA (ENSMSIG00000021083.1)". Lineage: Eukaryota; Metazoa; Chordata; Mammalia; Rodentia; Muridae. The record is from RNAcentral.
GAUAGAAUGAUGGGUAGACAAAUAUCAGCAUGGAGCGGAUGCCUGACAGAGCGGAUGGAGGCAUGGCUGGGUAGGUGGGUGGCAGAACUGAGGGAUGGGGUAGGUUGGAUGGAGAGAUGGGCAUGGAAAUGCCCACGUUCCUCUGUCUUUAGUGUUUGGCUGCGGCCUUGUCCUUAGGACCUGCAGAGCACCUUCCUUGAGAAGCUGUGCCAUCUGCCACCUUGUCACUAUUUUACAUGGAGGGCAUGGAGGCUUAUUUAUGGAACUGAAUGAUGGGUGAGCCACAAGGGCCAGCACUAAGGUUUGCAAAAGGCAUGGAUGAGGGAGGAUUCCAGUUGUGUGUUGUCUUUUCCUUUAGGCAUGUCCCAGUUACACUCAAGAACCCAUUAAAAUUGAAGACUUGGAUUUUGGGGUGGCACUGUUGGUGGGUUCUUUGGAUCCUUUGGGAGAAGAGGCCUGAUUGAGCCACCAGGACCAGAUUGAGGGAACUAACACAGAAUCGUCUGCAUAAUGGGCAGGGCACCGCCUGAAACUGCCCAGGUCUCCCUUUGCUUCCUGAGGAUGGAGAAAUCCCUGUAUUCUUGGCUCUCAAAAACUUUCCUGAUCUGUCAAAUGGGAUUGAAGAUGCAAUUACUUAUUUAUGAACGAAAUUUAAAAAGGCACAUUAAUAAAUUAUGUGAAUCCAUUUUUUUCUAAAAAUAC